CAGCCCAUGGGCAAGUUAGAGACAGGAGUGGUGUCUGUAGAGUGGAGGAAAGCAGAGGCUGCCGCUGACAGUCCUGCAACCCUUGCUCUGGCUGCUCACAGCUCUCCACCUUCUCUGGACUUUGUCACUUCAGUAUGUGAAACAACCGUUUCAACCAGCUUGGACAAAAGAGAGAAGCCAAGAUGGGGCUGAGAAACCAAUGCAGGCAGGCCCAGGGACCCAGGAGUCAGGGACCAGGCGCUACCGUAUGCUUGCUCCGACUCGUGUUGCUGCUGUCUUCUCUGUGCCUCAACUCUGUCCUCUGUCACUGCAGGCAGCUUCCUCCCAAGGUGAUGGAGACCAUGCCAUUGCUAGUCUACCUUGAAAGACAGAUGCGAAGAAUCAAGUCAGGGGCUUUGCAGGAAGGCGAUAUAUCCCACCUCAUGAAAUCAGCCUUCACCACAAGAUUGCUUUGACCAAUGGGAUGUGAGUAGAAGUUUGAAGAACCACAGACUGGUCCAUCACCUUGUUUCUUAUCCCUCUGACAUAAGCAAUGUCCCAGAUUGGGGCUGUUCCGUUAGCCUGGCUUCCAGAAUGAAGAGAGCUGAUCUACAUGGCAUAUGUAACAUAGAUAAACCUUUGUUAUUACAAACCA
RNAcentral lists this long non-coding RNA (634 nucleotides) under Pongo abelii (Sumatran orangutan). RNAcentral describes it as "lincRNA". The record is from RNAcentral. Lineage: Eukaryota; Metazoa; Chordata; Mammalia; Primates; Hominidae.